Ziziphus jujuba (common jujube) is the source of this 547-nucleotide long non-coding RNA. RefSeq lists it as uncharacterized. The record is from RefSeq and is a predicted model, not a curated record. NCBI's taxonomy places the organism in Eukaryota, Viridiplantae, Streptophyta, Magnoliopsida, Rosales, Rhamnaceae. The transcript has 2 exons.
UUGAAAAAACGGUACGGUUGGUUAUGUAUGUUUAUUUUUAGACGCACUCAUACAGUAUUGGUGUUCUGGUGUAUGGUGUAUGGACACGUGGUAAUGCGCGGUUAUUAUCUGGUUUAGCGCACGGUUAUUACUUCACCCGUGAGUUGCCAUUGGACCGUGGGCAGGCAAGGUUAUUGUUGCGCACAGCCGCCCCCCUCCUUGGCCGGGUGAUGGUUUUUAGCAGUCGGUACUGUCGGGACGCCGAAGUGACCACUGCAGGUUUCUCUCUUUAACCUCCCGCCAGUCGGUGCUCGGGACGCUGGGUAUCGGAGGGCAUCACCGGUAUAUGGUGUGGUCCAGGUUGGAGACGUUGAUUGUCCGGGGCGAGCCCAACGUCUCAGUUCGUUGUCGAAGGUUCAAGAAGUUUUUCUUCCCUUUUCUCCUCUCUGUCAUGUAUUAUUUCCGUAUCUGUCAUUUUAUAAAUUCCGCAUGUAACUGUAAAAAUGCUCUGUAUACUGUAUUGGACGUGUAGUUGUUUUUAAUGCACUGGGUUGCUGUUGUUGUUUUA